CGUGCUUAACACAUGCAAGUCGAACGAUGAAGCCUUCGGGUGGAUUAGUGGCGAACGGGUGAGUAACACGUGAGUAACCUGCCCCCUACUUUGGGAUAACAGUUGGAAACGGCUGCUAAUACCGAAUAUUCUCUGCGCAUCGCAUGGUGUGUGGUGGAAAGUUUUUCGGUGGGGGAUGGGCUCGCGGCCUAUCAGCUUGUUGGUGGGGUAAUGGCCCACCAAGGCGACGACGGGUAGCCGGCCUGAGAGGGCGACCGGCCACACUGGGACUGAGACACGGCCCAGACUCCUACGGGAGGCAGCAGUGGGGAAUAUUGCACAAUGGGCGAAAGCCUGAUGCAGCGACGCCGCGUGGGGGAUGACGGCCUUCGGGUUGUAAACCUCUUUCAGUAGGGAAGAAGCGAAAGUGACGGUACCUGCAGAAGAAGCGCCGGCUAACUACGUGCCAGCAGCCGCGGUAAUACGUAGGGCGCAAGCGUUGUCCGGAAUUAUUGGGCGUAAAGAGCUUGUAGGCGGUUUGUCACGUCUGGUGUGAAAACCCAUCGCUUAACGAUGGGCUUGCAUCGGGUACGGGCAGGCUAGAGUGCAGUAGGGGAGACUGGAAUUCCUGGUGUAGCGGUGGAAUGCGCAGAUAUCAGGAGGAACACCGAUGGCGAAGGCAGGUCUCUGGGCUGUUACUGACGCUGAGAAGCGAAAGCAUGGGGAGCGAACAGGAUUAGAUACCCUGGUAGUCCAUGCCGUAAACGUUGGGCACUAGGUGUG
Molecule: ribosomal RNA, 762 nt
Filed under: Actinomycetales bacterium
Lineage: Bacteria; Bacillati; Actinomycetota; Actinomycetes; Actinomycetales
Description: bacterial SSU rRNA
Rfam family: Bacterial small subunit ribosomal RNA
Source: RNAcentral